This 826-nucleotide ribosomal RNA is filed under the name uncultured Pseudomonadota bacterium. RNAcentral describes it as "bacterial SSU rRNA". It matches the Rfam family "Bacterial small subunit ribosomal RNA", at positions 58 to 889 of the family's 1533-position model. The record is from RNAcentral. Lineage: Bacteria; Pseudomonadati; Pseudomonadota.
CAAGUUGAGCGAGAAAAGGGGAGCAAUCCCCUGAGUACAGCGGCGCACGGGUGAGUAACACGUGGGUAAUCUGCCCUGAAGUGGGGAAUAACACCGGGAAACCGGUGCUAAUACCGCAUAUGAUCACGGUGUCUGCGGACACAGGGAUGAAAGGAGCAAUUCGCUUCAGGAGGAGCCCGCGGCUGAUUAGCUAGUUGGUGAGGUAAUGGCUCACCAAGGCAACGAUCAGUAUCCGGUCUGAGAGGACGGUCGGACACACUGGAACUGAGACACGGUCCAGACUCCUACGGGAGGCAGCAGUGGGGAAUUUUUCGCAAUGGGGGCAACCCUGACGAAGCAACGCCGCGUGGAUGAUGAAGUAUCUCGGUACGUAAAAUCCUUUCGACAGGGAAGAAACCGCAAGGUUGACGGUACCUGUAGAAGAAGCCCCGGCUAACUCCGUGCCAGCAGCCGCGGUAAUAUGGGGGGGGCUAGCGUUGUUCGGAAUUACUGGGCGUAAAGGGCGCGUAGGCGGUCUGCUAAGUUGGAUGUGAAAACUCUGGGCUUAACCCAGAGCCUGCAUUCAAUACUGACAGGCUAGAGUUCUGGAGGGGAUAGCGGAAUUCCUGGUGUAGCGGUGAAAUGCGUAGAUAUCAGGAGGAACACCGGUGGCGAAGGCGGCUAUCUGGACAGAAACUGACGCUGAGGCGCGAAAGCUGGGGGAGCAAACAGGAUUAGAUACCCUGGUAGUCCUAGCCCUAAACGAUGGAUACUUGGUGUAGCUGGGAUUGAAUCCAGCUGUGCCGAAGCUAACGCAUUAAGUAUCCCGCCUGGGGAGUACGGUCGC